GUCACUUCCGGCGGGCGGGCUCCGAAAGGAGAGCGUGGUGUCUGGAGGUGAUCGGAAGGGACUGGCUGGAGUGUGGCGGGCUGACAGGUCUGAGGCCUGAAGGACUUCCGGGAACCGCAAAGCACGGUGUGCCUCCGUUGUCCUGAAGAAAAAGCCGCGCGCGGACGACUGGCCGGCCCACGCUUGCAGCUCCCAGAAGUUGACAGGCAUCCUCCGGUGACCGGAGACAAGUUCUCACUCUGUCGCUCAGGCUGGAGUGAAGUGGCGUGAUCUCAGCUCACUGCAGCCUUGAACUCCCGGGCUCAAGUGAUCCUCCUGCCUCAGCCUCCCGAGUAGCUAGGACUACAGAUCUGCAUUAUAAGAAAAAUGAGGAGAAUUCCUUCAGGAAGAAGAAAAAUGAUACCAGAUGGAUAUGUGGAUCCACAUAAAGGAACGAAGAGCACAGGAAAUAGUAACUAUGCUGUCUUUCUCUGUCACCCAGGCUGGAGUGUGGUGGUGCGAUCUUGGCUUACCUCUAGACUGGUUGGAUCCAGGUUUCCUUCGUCAGUCCAGGCAGGACUGUGCGUUUGGAAAAGG
RNAcentral lists this non-coding RNA (576 nucleotides) under Pan troglodytes (chimpanzee). Lineage: Eukaryota; Metazoa; Chordata; Mammalia; Primates; Hominidae. The record is from RNAcentral.